GGCACAUUAAGACACACACAAAAGAGAAAUAUAGGUUCAAAAUUGGUUAUUAUUAUAAAUUACUCGCUGACAAGAACAUGCAUGAAUUUAUAUGAACUAAGUAUUUAUCACGAUUAAUUUCAGAGUCCAAGCUCACUUAAAAGUUGUUGUACAGAAAUUUUGUUCUCGGCAUCAGCAGGGCGGUUUAAGGUGACAGCUUCUAGAUUGUAGAAAUGCAUAAACACUCGAAACACCUGGAGUGUAUUCCAUAUUUAGAAC
Molecule: non-coding RNA, 258 nt
Organism: Paramuricea clavata
Lineage: Eukaryota; Metazoa; Cnidaria; Anthozoa; Malacalcyonacea; Plexauridae
Source: the annotation of a GenBank genome assembly